Molecule: ribosomal RNA, 729 nt
Filed under: uncultured eukaryote
Lineage: Eukaryota
Description: SSU rRNA
Rfam family: Eukaryotic small subunit ribosomal RNA
Source: RNAcentral
CGGGUGCACUGAUCCGGCCGGGCCUUUCCCUCUGUGGAACCCCAUGGCCUUCACUGGCUGUGCGGGGGAAACAGGACUUUUACUGUGAAAAAAUUAGAGUGCUCCAGGCAGGCCUAUGCUCGAAUACAUUAGCAUGGAGUAAUAGAAUAGGACGCGUGGUUCUAUUUUGUUGGUUUCUAGGACCGCCGUAAUGAUUAAUAGGGACAGUCGGGGGCAUCAGUAUUCAAUUGUCAGAGGUGAAAUUCUUGGAUCUAUUGAAGACUAACUACUGCGAAAGCAUUUGCCAAGGAUGUUUUCAUUGAUAAGGAACGAAAGUUAGGGGAUCGAAGACGAUCAGAUACCGUCGUAGUCUUAACUAUAAACUAUGCCGACUAGGGAUCGGACGAUGUUAUUUCUUGACGCGUUCGGCACCUUUCGAGAAAUCAAAGUGCUUGGGCUCCAGGGGGAGUAUGGUCGCAAGGCUGAAACUUAAAGAAAUUGACGGAAGGGCACCACCAGGGGUGGAACCUGCGGCUUAAUUUGACUCAACACGGGGAAACUCACCAGGUCCAGACACAGUGAGGAUUGACAGAUUGAGAGCUCUUUCUUGAUUCUGUGGGUGGUGGUGCAUGGCCGUUCUUAGUUGGUGGAGUGAUUUGUCUGCUUAAUUGCGAUAACGAACGAGACCUUAACCUGCUAAAUAGCCCGUACUGCUCUGGCAGUUCGCCGGCUUCUUAGAGGGACUAUCGG